UACGUAGGGUGCAAGCGUUAAUCGGAAUUACUGGGCGUAAAGCGUGCGCAGGCGGCGCCGCAAGUCGAGUGUGAGAUCCCCGAGCUUAACUUGGGAAUUGCGCUCGAAACUACGGUGCUGGAGUGUGGCAGAGGGAGGUGGAAUUCCACGUGUAGCGGUGAAAUGCGUAGAUAUCUGGAGGAACAUCGGUGGCGAAGGCGGCAUCCUGGACCGGUAUUGACGCUGAGGCGCGAAAGCCAGGGGAGCAAACGGG
RNAcentral lists this ribosomal RNA (253 nucleotides) under uncultured bacterium. RNAcentral's name for it is "partial 16S ribosomal RNA". It matches the Rfam family "Bacterial small subunit ribosomal RNA", at positions 524 to 776 of the family's 1533-position model. The record is from RNAcentral.